UACGUAGGGUGCGAGCGUUAAUCGGAAUUACUGGGCGUAAAGCGUGCGCAGGCGGUUUUGUAAGCCAGAUGUGAAAGCCCCGGGCUUAACCUGGGAAUGGCAUUUGGGACUGCAAGGCUGGAGUGUGGCAGAGGAGACUGGAAUUCCUGGUGUAGCAGUGAAAUGCGUAGAUAUCAGGAGGGACACCGAUGGCGAAGGCAGGUCUCUGGGCUGACACUGACGCUCAUGCACGAAAGCGUGGGGAGCAAACAGG
RNAcentral lists this ribosomal RNA (253 nucleotides) under uncultured bacterium. RNAcentral's name for it is "partial 16S ribosomal RNA". It matches the Rfam family "Bacterial small subunit ribosomal RNA", at positions 524 to 776 of the family's 1533-position model. The record is from RNAcentral.